RNAcentral lists this ribosomal RNA (253 nucleotides) under uncultured bacterium. RNAcentral's name for it is "partial 16S ribosomal RNA". It matches the Rfam family "Bacterial small subunit ribosomal RNA", at positions 524 to 776 of the family's 1533-position model. The record is from RNAcentral.
UACGUAGGGAGCAAGCGUUGUCCGGAAUCAUUGGGCGUAAAGCGCGCGUAGGCGGUUACUCAAGUCGGAUGUGAAAGCCCUCGGCUUAACUGAGGAAGUGCACCCGAAACUGAGUAGCUAGAGUACUAAAGAGGGUCGCGGAAUUCCCGGUGUAGAGGUGAAAUUCGUAGAUAUCGGGAGGAACACCGGUGGCGAAGGCGGCGACCUGGGUAGAUACUGACGCUGAGGCGCGAAAGCGUGGGGAGCAAACAGG